GGCUACAACACAGGACACGGGAGCUUUUCUGAACCCUCGUGUCUUGUGUUGCAGCCAG
RNAcentral lists this microRNA precursor (58 nucleotides) under Monodelphis domestica (gray short-tailed opossum). RNAcentral describes it as "Mdo-Mir-187_pre stem-loop". It matches the Rfam family "mir-187 microRNA precursor family", at positions 15 to 72 of the family's 81-position model. Lineage: Eukaryota; Metazoa; Chordata; Mammalia; Didelphimorphia; Didelphidae. The record is from RNAcentral.